RNAcentral lists this RNase P RNA (352 nucleotides) under Megamonas funiformis. RNAcentral describes it as "RNase P RNA component class A". It matches the Rfam family "Bacterial RNase P class A". Rfam says of the family: Ribonuclease P (RNase P) is a ubiquitous endoribonuclease, found in archaea, bacteria and eukarya as well as chloroplasts and mitochondria. Lineage: Bacteria; Bacillati; Bacillota; Negativicutes; Selenomonadales; Selenomonadaceae. The record is from RNAcentral.
UGAGUAUGAAAGAUAAUCGCGUAUACUUUUUGUAUAUGAGGAAAGUCCGGGCUCCACAGGGCAAUGUGCUGGAUAACGUCCAGCGAGGGUGACCUCAGGGAAAGUGCUAUAGAAACUUAAACCGCCUAUGAAAAUAGGUAAGGGUGGAAAGGUGCGGUAAGAGCGCACCAGCGUGCAGGUGACUGUACGGCUAGGUAAACCCCACAUGGAGCAAGACCGAAUAGGGAAGGGAUGAAGUGGCCCGCUGAGCCUUCCGGGUUGUGUCGCUAGAGCUUAUAGGUAACUAUAAGUCCAGAUAAAUGAUUAUCACCACGCAAGUGGAACAAAACUCGGCUUAUUGAUUACUCAUAUC